AAAAAGAAAGGUUACUUUGAUAGGAUAUAUUAUCAACACUUUUAACUCUAAAUCCUGAUUUUGAAAAAGGAUAAAAAUAAAGUUAUACUCUAGGAUUAACUAAUCUAGACUUAGGGUUUAGAAUUAAGGGGUGUAGUUUUGAGGAUAUGGAAUCAAAUUUUGAAAAAUUAAAAAUAAAUACUAAAAUGUUCAGAAUUAAAAAAAAAGAUUAUUUGGUCAUUUUUCUCUUUAAAUGUUAUUUUGUGACAAACUUAAAAAGACUAUUUGAGAGAACGGCUUUAACAAAAAGAAAAGAAACAUAACUGAAAUAAUAGAUCUAAAGAAACUGAGCAGAAAGAUAAUUUUUUAGCUAUACAGUGGAAUUUCUCAAAAAAAGAACAAAGAUAAAAAGAAAAGAAGAAGAAAAAUAU
This 410-nucleotide long non-coding RNA is filed under the name Brassica rapa (field mustard). Its description in RNAcentral is "long non-coding RNA (BRAP_LNC006534)". The record is from RNAcentral. Lineage: Eukaryota; Viridiplantae; Streptophyta; Magnoliopsida; Brassicales; Brassicaceae.